AGUCGAGGGGCAGCAUUUCAGUUUGCUUGCAAACUGGAGAUGGCGACCGGCGCACGGGUGAGUAACACGUAUCCAACCUGCCGAUAACUCGGGGAUAGCCUUUCGAAAGAAAGAUUAAUACCCGAUGGNAUAAUCAGACCGCAUGGUCUNAUUAUUAAAGAAUUUCGGUUAUCGAUGGGGAUGCGUUCCAUUAGGCAGUUGGUGAGGUAACGGCUCACCAAACCUUCGAUGGAUAGGGGUUCUGAGAGGAAGGUCCCCCACAUUGGAACUGAGACACGGUCCAAACUCCUACGGGAGGCAGCAGUGAGGAAUAUUGGUCAAUGGGCGCAGGCCUGAACCAGCCAAGUAGCGUGAAGGAUGACUGCCCUAUGGGUUGUAAACUUCUUUUAUAUGGGAAUAAAGUUUUCCACGUGUGGAAUUUUGUAUGUACCAUAUGAAUAAGGAUCGGCUAACUCCGUGCCAGCAGCCGCGGUAAUACGGAGGAUCCGAGCGUUAUCCGGAUUUAUUGGGUUUAAAGGGAGCGUAGGUGGACAGUUAAGUCAGUUGUGAAAGUUUGCGGCUCAACCGUAAAAUUGCAGUUGAUACUGGCUGUCUUGAGUACAGUAGAGGUGGGCGGAAUUCGUGGUGUAGCGGUGAAAUGCUUAGAUAUCACGAAGAACUCCGAUUGCGAAGGCAGCUCACUGGACUGCAACUGACACUGAUGCUCGAAAGUGUGGGUAUCAAACAGGAUUAGAUACCCUGGUAGUCCACACAGUAAACGAUGAAUACUCGCUGUUUGCGAUAUACAGUAAGCGGCCAAGCGAAAGCAUUAAGUAUUCCACCUGGGGGAGUACGCCGGCAACGGUGAAACUCAAAGGAAUUGACGGGGGCCCGCACAAGCGGAGGAACAUGUGGUUUAAUUCGAUGAUACGCGAGGAACCUUACCCGGGCUUAAAUUGCAUUUGAAUANUUUGGAAACAGNNUAGCCGCAAGGCAAAUGUGAAGGUGCUGCAUGGUUGUCGUCAGCUCGUGCCGUGAGGUGUCGGCUUAAGUGCCAUAACGAGCGCAACCCUUAUCUUUAGUUACUAACAGGUCAUGCUGAGGACUCUAGAGAGACUGCCGUCGUAAGAUGUGAGGAAGGUGGGGAUGACGUCAAAUCAGCACGGCCCUUACGUCCGGGGCUACACACGUGUUACAAUGGGGGGUACAGAAGGCAGCUACCUGGUGACAGGAUGCUAAUCCCAAAAGCCUCUCUCAGUUCGGAUCGAAGUCUGCAACCCGACUUCGUGAAGCUGGAUUCGCUAGUAAUCGCGCAUCAGCCAUGGCGCGGUGAAUACGUUCCCGGGCCUUGUACACACCGCCCGUCAAGCCAUGAAAGCCGGGGGUACCUGAAGUACGUAACCGCAAGGAG
This 1390-nucleotide ribosomal RNA is filed under the name bacterium NLAE-zl-P730. Its description in RNAcentral is "16S ribosomal RNA". It matches the Rfam family "Bacterial small subunit ribosomal RNA". The record is from RNAcentral.